Molecule: ribosomal RNA, 395 nt
Filed under: uncultured bacterium
Lineage: Bacteria
Description: partial 16S ribosomal RNA
Rfam family: Bacterial small subunit ribosomal RNA
Source: RNAcentral
CCUACGCGCGGCUGCAGUGAGGAAUAUUGGUCAAUGGACGCAAGUCUGAACCAGCCAUGCCGCGUGCAGGAAGAAGGCUCUAUGAGUUGUAAACUUCUUUUGUACGAGGGUAAACGCACCUACGCGUAUCUGUCUGAAAGUAUCGUACGAAUAAGGAUCGGCUAACUCCGUGCCAGCAGCCGCGGUAAUACGGAGGAUUCAAGCGUUAUCCGGAUUUAUUGGGUUUAAAGGGUGCGUAGGCGGGCGGAUAAGUUAGAGGUGAAAUCCUGAGGCUCAACUUCGGAAUUGCCUCUGAUACUGUUCGUCUAGAGAGUAGUAGCGGUAGGCGGAAUGUGUGGUGUAGCGGUGAAAUGCUUAGAGAUCAUACAGAACACCGAUUGCGAAGGCAGCUUACC